AGCCGGGCCCUGCGCAACAAUGGUUCGCGAACUCCGCCAGGUCCGGAAGGAAGCAACGGUAGCGAUUGCCAGUGUGUGAUGCAGGUCGCCCGGCUAUC
Molecule: signal recognition particle RNA, 98 nt
Filed under: Pseudomonadota bacterium
Lineage: Bacteria; Pseudomonadati; Pseudomonadota
Description: Proteobacteria bacterium (groundwater metagenome) signal recognition particle sRNA small type
Rfam family: Bacterial small signal recognition particle RNA
About the family: The signal recognition particle (SRP) is a universally conserved ribonucleoprotein involved in the co-translational targeting of proteins to membranes. Archaeal SRP consists of a 7S RNA and homologues of the eukaryotic SRP19 and SRP54 proteins. In most bacteria, the SRP consists of a 4.5S RNA and the Ffh protein (a homologue of the eukaryotic SRP54 protein).
Source: RNAcentral